Molecule: ribosomal RNA, 495 nt
Filed under: uncultured soil bacterium
Lineage: Bacteria
Description: bacterial SSU rRNA
Rfam family: Bacterial small subunit ribosomal RNA
Source: RNAcentral
AGAUUGAACGCUGGCGGCAUGCCUUACACAUGCAAGUCGAACGGCAGCACGGGGGCAACCCUGGUGGCGAGUGGCGAACGGGUGAGUAACACAUCGGAACGUGCCCAGUAGUGGGGGAUAGCCCGGCGAAAGCCGGAUUAAUACCGCAUACGACCUACGGGUGAAAGCGGGGGAUCGCAAGACCUCGCGCUAUCGGAGCGGCCGAUGUCAGAUUAGGUUGUUGGUGGGGUAAAAGCCUACCAAGCCGACGAUCUGUAGCUGGUCUGAGAGGACGACCAGCCACACUGGGACUGAGACACGGCCCAGACUCCUACGGGAGGCAGCAGUGGGGAAUUUGGACAAUGGGCGCAAGCCUGAUCCAGCCAUGCCGCGUGCGGGAAGAAGGCCUCGGUUGUAACCGCUUUGUCGGGAAGAAACGCUCUGGCUAAUACCCGGAGUAAUGACGGUACCCGAAGAAUAAGACACCGGCUAACUACGUGCCAGCAGCCGCGGUAA